UGAGCAACCUGCCCUUAGCUUUGGGAUAAUCCUCGGAAACGGGGCUAAUACCGAAUGUUCACUGCCGGGCGCAUGUUUGGUGGUGGAAAGUUUUUCGGCUGGGGAUGGGCUCGCGGCCUAUCAGCUUGUUGGUGGGGUGAUGGCCUACCAAGGCGAUGACGGGUAGCCGGCCUGAGAGGGCGACCGGCCACACUGGGACUGAGACACGGCCCAGACUCCUACGGGAGGCA
This 230-nucleotide ribosomal RNA is filed under the name uncultured bacterium. RNAcentral describes it as "partial 16S ribosomal RNA". It matches the Rfam family "Bacterial small subunit ribosomal RNA", at positions 118 to 350 of the family's 1533-position model. The record is from RNAcentral.